UCGCACGCGAUCGAAACCGCCUUUACGGCGGCAGUCGUUACGAUAGUAAUCCUGCCCAGUACGAGAGGAACGGCAGGUUCGGACAUUUGGUUCGGCACUCGCCCGAGCGGGCGUUGGUGCGAGGCUACCAUCCGUUGGAUUACGCCUGAACGCCUCUAAGGCCGUAUCCACUCUGGAGAAAACAGCCGGGCCGGCUUUCGGGCCGGUCUCGGGAAAACGAUCGUCCGUACGGCGGAGGAGAACCCAGUAUACAUCGGGAAGGCGUCAAAGCACGGACCUUCGGGUCCACGACGAGCCGGAUUCUCGGCCGCGCGGGCUCUCGGGCCCGCUGGCCGUGCAUCAACGGUGAACGCGGUGAUCCCGCGGCAAACGGUGUGGGUUUUCGGAAUCGUCUGCAGACGACUUAAGUACCGGGCUGGGUGUUGUACUCGGCAGAGCAGUUACCACGCUGCGAUCUGUUAAGACUGCCCUUUGCCUCGGGGGUUCGU
This is a non-coding RNA of Acyrthosiphon pisum (pea aphid), 488 nucleotides long. The record is from Rfam. NCBI's taxonomy places the organism in Eukaryota, Metazoa, Arthropoda, Insecta, Hemiptera, Aphididae.